This 21-nucleotide non-coding RNA is filed under the name Caenorhabditis elegans. Lineage: Eukaryota; Metazoa; Nematoda; Chromadorea; Rhabditida; Rhabditidae. The record is from RNAcentral.
UAGAUAUAUGUGGUGGAAGAU